GCCACAGUAAUUUCUGUGCCAACGUAGCAUAAUAAUUCGUUUUUAAUUGAAAAACAGAAUGAAAGGAUAAACGACUUAAAUAUUUUAAAAAUAUUAUUAAAAUUAAACUAUUAAAUUAGCAUAAAAGUAAAAAGACUUUUAUAAAAAAGAGACAACAAGACCCUAUAGAGCUUCACUUUAUAGUUUUGCUGGGGCAGCAAAAAACAAUAACUUUUCAAUCAUAUAACAAUUUAGACCUAAAAUUUUUAAUUUUUAAAACAAGUUACCUUAGGGAUAACAGCGUUAUUUUACUCCACAGAUCUCAUAAAAAGUAAAUAUUAUGACCUCGAUGUUGAUUUAAUUUUUCUUAAUUAAGUAAAAAUAAUUAAGAUAAGUCUGUUCGACUUUUAAAAAAUUACAUGAUUUGAGUUCAGACCAGCUUAAGCCAAGUCAGAUUAUAUCUUCUUAAAUUAACAGUAUGAAAGGAACUAAAUUACAUUA
RNAcentral lists this ribosomal RNA (480 nucleotides) under Loxosceles chinateca. Its description in RNAcentral is "partial 16S ribosomal RNA". The stretch from base 148 to 443 matches the Rfam family "Archaeal large subunit ribosomal RNA", at positions 2153 to 2713 of the family's 2987-position model. The record is from RNAcentral. Lineage: Eukaryota; Metazoa; Arthropoda; Arachnida; Araneae; Sicariidae.